UUGAAAGGGAAACGAUUGAAGUCAGUCGUACCAACGGGAAAUCAACCUUUUGAGCUUGGUCUCGUGGGUUUUGAAGAGUUUCAAAGCCUUCGGAUUCGCGGGAUUGGGAUCUCUUGGUGUACUUUUUCGUACGGUUAGUCAACAUCGGUUUUGAAUGUCAUAAAAUGACUGGAGGAAUGUAGCUUCGAUCUCGUAUUGAAGUGUUAUAGCCUUUGGUAGAUGUGAUGUUUGAGACCGAGGAUUGCAACGGAUACCCUUCAGGGCUAUUCGUCUGAUCUCUGAUACGUUGCCUUGAUGUUGAAAGCUUGCUUAUGAUGUUAGGGUAUUACGGUCAAAAGGUUAGAACGAAUUACAUUCGUUAAGGAUGUUGACGUA
This 375-nucleotide ribosomal RNA is filed under the name uncultured Glomeromycotina. RNAcentral describes it as "eukaryotic LSU rRNA". The record is from RNAcentral. Lineage: Eukaryota; Fungi; Glomeromycota.